RNAcentral lists this ribosomal RNA (449 nucleotides) under Diorygma antillarum. Its description in RNAcentral is "eukaryotic LSU rRNA". It matches the Rfam family "Eukaryotic large subunit ribosomal RNA", at positions 139 to 593 of the family's 3401-position model. Lineage: Eukaryota; Fungi; Ascomycota; Lecanoromycetes; Ostropales; Graphidaceae. The record is from RNAcentral.
CGAGUUGUAAUUUGGAGAAGGUGCUUCGGGUGCGACCGCGGUCCAAGUCCCAUGGAACUGGGCGUCAUAGAGGGUGAGAAUCCCGUACGUGGCCGAGAGGUCUAUCCCGUGCGAAGCCCUUUCGACGAGUCGAGUUGUUUGGGAAUGCAGCUCUAAAUGGGUGGUAAACUUCAUCUAAAGCUAAAUAUCGGCCGGAGACCGAUAGCGCACAAGUAGAGUGAUCGAAAGGUGAAAAGAACUUUGAAAAGAGAGUUAAACAGUACGUGAAAUUGUUGAAAGGGAAGCGCUUGCAACCAGACUCGCGCGCGGGGUUCAGCCGUCCCUCGGGGCGGUGUACUCCCCGUGCGCGGGCCAGCAUCAGCUUGGGCGGUCGGAUAAAGGUUCGGGGAACGUAGCUCCCUUCGGGGAGUGUUAUAGCCCCGGGCGUCAUGCGGCCAGCCCGGGCUGAG